CAGAACCUCCACGACCGCAGCUGACACCUGCUACCCAAGGCCUACACGCCUACUGCCUAAUAGUAGACCCAGCAAAGCUGAUCUACGAACCAAGCUACCCCAGGGAUAACAGCGCUAUCCCCUUCAAGAGUCCAUAUCAUCAAGGGGGUUUACGACCUCGAUGUUGGAUCAGGACCCCCCGGCGGUGCAGCCGCUGCCAAAGGUUCGUUUGUUCAACGAAUAAUGUCCU
RNAcentral lists this ribosomal RNA (229 nucleotides) under Lygodactylus verticillatus. RNAcentral's name for it is "partial large subunit ribosomal RNA". The stretch from base 105 to 229 matches the Rfam family "Bacterial large subunit ribosomal RNA", at positions 2473 to 2597 of the family's 2925-position model. The record is from RNAcentral. Lineage: Eukaryota; Metazoa; Chordata; Lepidosauria; Squamata; Gekkonidae.